UACGAAGGGGGCGAGCGUUGUUCGGAUUUACUGGGCGUAAAGGGCGCGCAGGCGGCUCAUUUUGUCAGGCGUGAAAGCCCCGGGCUUAACCUGGGAACUGCGUCCGAUACUGGAAGGCUUGAGUGCGGGAGAGGGAUGUGGAAUUCCAGGUGUAGCGGUGAAAUGCGUAGAUAUCUGGAGGAACACCGGUGGCGAAGGCGGCGUUCUGGACUGCAACUGACACUGAGAGACGAAAGCCAGGGGAGCAAACGGG
RNAcentral lists this ribosomal RNA (253 nucleotides) under uncultured bacterium. RNAcentral's name for it is "partial 16S ribosomal RNA". It matches the Rfam family "Bacterial small subunit ribosomal RNA", at positions 524 to 776 of the family's 1533-position model. The record is from RNAcentral.